GCCACCUUAGCUCAGCUGGCAGAGCAGCCGCCUUGUAAGCGGCAGGUCAUCGGUUCGAAUCCGAUAGGUGGCUCCA
RNAcentral lists this transfer RNA (76 nucleotides) under Propionibacteriaceae bacterium. RNAcentral describes it as "tRNA-Thr". It matches the Rfam family "tRNA". From Rfam's summary of the family: Transfer RNA (tRNA) molecules are approximately 80 nucleotides in length. Their secondary structure includes four short double-helical elements and three loops (D, anti-codon, and T loops). The record is from RNAcentral. Lineage: Bacteria; Bacillati; Actinomycetota; Actinomycetes; Propionibacteriales; Propionibacteriaceae.